RNAcentral lists this ribosomal RNA (451 nucleotides) under uncultured bacterium. Its description in RNAcentral is "bacterial SSU rRNA". It matches the Rfam family "Bacterial small subunit ribosomal RNA", at positions 354 to 796 of the family's 1533-position model. The record is from RNAcentral.
GUGAGGAAUUUUGCGCAAUGGGGGAAACCCUGACGCAGCAACGCCGCGUGAGUGAUGAAGGCCUUCGGGUCGUAAAGCUCUGUCAAGUGGGAAGAAACUGCCCUAUGCAAAUACCAUAGGGUAUUGACGGUACCACUGAAGGAAGCACCGGCUAACUCCGUGCCAGCAGCCGCGGUAAUACGGGGGGUGCAAGCGUUAUUCGGAAUCAUUGGGCGUAAAGGGCGCGUAGGCGGUUGCUUAAGUCAGGUGUGAAAGCCCUCGGCUUAACCGAGGAAGUGCAUCUGAUACUAAGCAACUUGAGUAUGGGAGAGGGAAGCGGAAUUCCUGGUGUAGCGGUGAAAUGCGUAGAUAUCAGGAGGAACACCGGUGGCGAAGGCGGCUUCCUGGACCAAUACUGACGCUGAGGCGCGAAGGCGUGGGGAGCAAACAGGAUUAGAAACCCUGGUAGUCC